AGGACGAACGCUGGCGGCGUGCUUAACACAUGCAAGUCGAACGGAAAGGCCCUUUCGGGGGUACUCGAGUGGCGAACGGGUGAGUAACACGUGGGUGAUCUGCCCUGCACUUCGGGAUAAGCUUGGGAAACUGGGUCUAAUACCGGAUAGGACUACGGACUUCAUGGUUUGUGGUGGAAAGCUUUUGCGGUGUGGGAUGGGCCCGCGGCCUAUCAGCUUGUUGGUGGGGUAACGGCCUACCAAGGCGACGACGGGUA
This 257-nucleotide ribosomal RNA is filed under the name uncultured bacterium. RNAcentral describes it as "partial small subunit ribosomal RNA". It matches the Rfam family "Bacterial small subunit ribosomal RNA", at positions 26 to 285 of the family's 1533-position model. The record is from RNAcentral.